This is a long non-coding RNA of Thunnus maccoyii (southern bluefin tuna), 1235 nucleotides long. RefSeq lists it as uncharacterized. The transcript has 2 exons. The record is from RefSeq and is a predicted model, not a curated record. Lineage: Eukaryota; Metazoa; Chordata; Actinopteri; Scombriformes; Scombridae.
CUUGAUGGCAGAACUCGCACACAGUUAAUAACAAAACAGCUCAGCACCAUGGACAGCAUCUUCAUUCCUACAGCACGUCCACAAGAGGAUAAAAGACAGAGGGAUGAGCAGACGAAGGAUGCAUGAAAGAGCCCUUGUCUGGGUGAGACACGAUACUGCUCAACAAAGGGAUUUCAUACGGUGCUGAGGCUUCCUCCGGCAUCCCGCACUCUUUCUUUAUUCUGCCAAGGUAAUUCACACAAGUCUACAACCCACCGACAUCGCCAGAGAAAGAUGAUUACAGCUGUAGCUCCAGACUGACAGCUUCUCCAGUCUCCUCAACUCCACGGGCCUCUCCAUGGUUACCAAGACACUGGCAACGUGAAAAAAAACUGCUUAAAAAAAAGAGUGAUAAUUUGUUUUCUGGUUCUCCUCCAUCACCUGAGACAGCUGAGAAGGCUAUGCAUUCCCAGUGGCACAUCUAUUCAUGCAUAUAGAUUAGGCUGAUUUCAGACGCCUUAGUCUGAAAAGGAAAUCAUUUUGUUCAGUGAAUCAGUGAGAUGGAAAUCUGUAGUAAAUAUUUUCUCUGAAAUAUUUCAUACAAUUUUUUUUCCCACACUGUUUUAAAAAGCAACACAGUAUGGAGUUACUUUUGCGUCUUUAUUAUGCAGGCAAACAGCUAAGGUUUGCAAUCAAAAAAUAGAGAAAAAUAGAGAGAGCAAAACUAUCAACACUGCAAUCAAAAACUGUUUUAUUGUAAGUAAAAUACGUUUGUGAUUAAACUUUGUUGUUUUUGAUUUGGCUCAUUAUGAAAUCAAACUUAUUCUGUUUGAUUGCAUAAUAAAGAUGCAAAAGUAACUCCAUACACAGUCUCUUUUUUUGCAAUCAGUGGGGUUUACAGCAGUUUGAUAAUGAUGGCAGCUGUAGUGAGUGUGUAUUUUGUGAGGUGGAAAAUGAGAAACCAAUUAUCCAAUGAAACUAAGGAUUAUAUUGUUAAACAUAAUAACAAUGACAAGAGGGAGAAUACAAAUUAUAACAGUGUAGCAUCAUAAACCUAUUAUUACAUUAACAGAGAACAGUUUGAAAUGUAAAUACAAUGUCACAUUAGUGAAAGUUCUGUUUUCACAGAGAAAACAGGGCUGCAACUAUCACUUACUGUCAUGAUGUAAAAAGUGUAAAAUGCUAAACCUGAUGUAAGAAUAACAGCAUUGAUUUCCACAGCCUGGAGACAGUGAUAGAGGAUGUGAAGCUUGUCA